GACGUAGGGAGCGAGCGUUGUCCGGAUUUAUUGGGCGUAAAGGGCCAGUAGGCGGCUUGGCAAGUCAGGUGUGAAACCUCCAGGCUCAACCUGGAGACGCCACUUGAUACUGCUAUGGCUUGAGUCCGGUAGGGGAGCAUGGAAUACCCGGUGUAGCGGUGAAAUGCGCAGAUAUCGGGUGGAACACCAGUGGCGAAGGCGGUGCUCUGGGCCGGAACUGACGCUGAAUGGCGAAAGCGUGGGUAGCAAACAGG
Molecule: ribosomal RNA, 254 nt
Filed under: uncultured bacterium
Lineage: Bacteria
Description: partial 16S ribosomal RNA
Rfam family: Bacterial small subunit ribosomal RNA
Source: RNAcentral